AAAGAUUUAUCGGUGAUGGAUGGGGAUGCGUCUGAUUAGCUUGUUGGCGGGGUAACGGCCCACCAAGGCGACGAUCAGUAGGGGCUCUGAGAGGAAGGUCCCCCACAUUGGAACUGAGACACGGUCCAAACUCCUACGGGAGGCAGCAGUGAGGAAUAUUGGUCAAUGGGCGAGAGCCUGAACCAGCCAAGUAGCGUGAAGGAUGAAGGUCCUACGGAUUGUAAACUUCUUCUAUGCGGGAAUAAAGUAUCCUACGUGUAGGAUUUUGUAUGUACCGUAUGAAUAAGCAUCGGCUAACUCCGUG
RNAcentral lists this ribosomal RNA (304 nucleotides) under uncultured bacterium. RNAcentral describes it as "bacterial SSU rRNA". It matches the Rfam family "Bacterial small subunit ribosomal RNA", at positions 202 to 507 of the family's 1533-position model. The record is from RNAcentral.